AAGUUAAGUUCUUGAAAGUAAAAAGAUUUGGCGGUAUUUUAGUCUUUUCAGAGGAACCUGCCCUUUAAACGAUAGUCCACGAUUAAUAAAACUUAUUUUUUGUUUGUAUAUCGUCGUAGUAGAUUAUUUUAUAAGAAAAUUAAUGGUCUUUUUCUUUUAGGAUUGAAAUCAGAUCAAGGUGCAGCUUGUGAAUAAGUAGAGGUGGGUUACAAUAAAUUUAUUUAUAUGGAUAAGAAUAUUAAAUCUUCUUUGAAGGCGGAUUUGAAAGUAAUUUUGUUUAUUUUGAUAAAAUGAUUAAGCUCUAAAAUAUGUACAUAUCGCCCGUCACUCUCAUAAAAAUUGAGAUAAGUCGUAACAUAGUAGAUGUACUGGAAAGUGUAUCUGGUUUGACAAGUUAGAGCUUAAAUAAGCGUUUUAUUUACACUAAAGAGUUAAUUGGUUUCCGAUUUAAUGAAUUUAACUUUCUAUUUUCUUAUUUUUUAUUUAUUUUUUAAAAAAAGUAUUUUGGUUAUUUUAUUCUUUAGAGUGUAAUAUUUUAGUUUUUAGUACUGUGAAGGAAUAAUAUUAAAUAUUUAUAAGAAGUUAUUUAGACGUACCUUGUGUAUCAGGGUUUAUUAAAAAAUAAUUAAAAAUUUAAUUUUCCCGAAUUUUAAAGAGUUAAUUGAUUUUAUGUUUUACUGUUGAACAAGUAUUCUAUAUAAUUAAUUGGAAAUGAAAUGUUAUUCGUUUUUUAAUAUAUCUGGUUUCUGAAGAAACGAAUUUAAUUCGGUUUUUAAUAAUAAAUAAUCUUUUUUAUUAAAUUAUUUAUUUUAAAUUUUAAUAUAUAAAGGGAUAAGCUUUUAUAUAAAAUGUUAUAAAGUAUUUUUUUAUUCUUUGAAGUAGGAUUAGAAAUUUCUUUCUUUAAUUUUUUAUAAUUAAUAAGUAUUGAAUAAAAUAUUUUAUGUUUUUUAACUUUUUUAUUCAGAAUAUUUAAUUAAUAUUUAUUAUAUGUUAUAAUGAUUGAAUUAGUAUAAUUUUAUGUAUAAAUUAAUUUAUUUUUAUAGAUAAUUAAAAGGAACUAGGCAAAUCUUUCUUUCGCCUGUUUAUUAAAAACAUGUCUUUUUGAUUAAAAUAUAAAGUCUGACCUGCCCUAUGAUUGAUUAAAUGGCCGCAGUAUUUUGACUGUGCGAAGGUAGCAUAAUCAUUAGUUUCUUAAUUAGGAACUGGAAUGAAUGGUUUGACGAAAUGGAUUCUGUCUCUUAUUUAAAUUUAGAAUUUUAUUUUUGAGUUAAAAAGCUUAAAUUAAGUUAAAAGACGAGAAGACCCUGUAGAUUUUUACAUUUUUAAAUUAAAUUUUUUUAUGAAUUGUUUUGUUUUUAUUUUUGAAGUGUUUAGUUGGGGUGACUAAAAAAUUUAAUUAACUUUUUUUAUUUCAUAUUAUAUGAUUUAUAUAUAUAGUGAUACACGAUUUCGUGCGCGUCUUAUA
This 1465-nucleotide ribosomal RNA is filed under the name Trogoxylon sp. NLG-2014. RNAcentral describes it as "partial 16S ribosomal RNA". The record is from RNAcentral. Lineage: Eukaryota; Metazoa; Arthropoda; Insecta; Coleoptera; Bostrichidae.